Long non-coding RNA from Oncorhynchus tshawytscha (Chinook salmon), 1261 nucleotides. RefSeq lists it as uncharacterized. The transcript is spliced from 2 exons. NCBI's taxonomy places the organism in Eukaryota, Metazoa, Chordata, Actinopteri, Salmoniformes, Salmonidae. The record is from RefSeq and is a predicted model, not a curated record.
CCUCCCCUCACCUGGUUGUCUAGGACCUCCCCUCACCUGGUUGUCUAGGACCUCCCCUCACCUGGUUGUCUAGGACCUCCCCUCACCUGGUUGUCUAGGACCUCCCCUCACCUGGUUGUCUAGGACCUCCCCUCACCCGGUUGUCUAGGACCUCCCCUCACCUGGUUGUCUAGGACCUCCCCCUCACCUGGUUGUCUAGGACUUCAUACUGACACAUUAAAAAGUGAAAUAACUAAAACCAGCAGAUGACUGCCCUCCAUGGAAUGAGUUUGGACACCUUCUGAUCUAGUGCCUUUCGACAGAAGCACAGAUCCAGGAACAGUCUCCAUUUCCUCAACCUUAACUAGUGUAGUAUAAGUUAACUACUAGGGGGGGGGAUCUGCAUGAAAACUGACCUGAGAUCAGUGUCGUGUUUUAUAAGAUGACCACUUCCUCUCUUUUACAGGUGACAUUCCUUUCCUCCUUAAACAUGUGUCGCUUUGUAUUCCUUCCCCCCCACUGAUUCAGUAGCAGGAAGGAGUUUUGAGGUGUCGCGUUGUAUUCCUUCCCCCCCACUGAUUCAGUAGCAGGAAGGAGUUUUGAGGUGUCGCGUUGUAUUCCCUCCCCCACUGAUUCAGUAGCAGGAAGGAGUUUUGAGGUGUCGCGUUUUAUUCCCCCCCCCCCCCCCACUGAUUCAGUAGCAGGAAGGAGUUUUGAGGUGUCGCGUUGUAUUCCCUCCCCCACUGAUUCAGUAGCAGGAAGGAGUUUUGAGGUGUCGCGUUGUAUUCCCUCCCCCACUGAUUCAGUAGCAGGAAGGAGUUUUGAGGUGUCGCGUUUGAUUCCCCCCCCACUGAUUCAGUAGCAGGAAGGAGUUUUGAGGUGUCACGUUUAUUCCUCCCCCCACUGAUUCAGUAGCAGGAAGGAGUUUUGAGGUGUCGCGUUUGAUUUCUUCCCCCACUGAUUCAGUAGCAGGAAGGAGUUUUGAGGUGUCGCGUUUUAUUCCCUCCCCCCCACUGAUUCAGUAGCAGGAAGGAGUUUUGAGGUGUUACGAUAUCAUAGAGCCUUUUAGCGUCACAGAAUACCAGUCUACUGAUAGCAUUAAUACAACGUUUGUUAGUUUGUACAUAUACCAGUAAUAGGAUCCAUGUUUCUCUAUCAUGUCUUUUACAUUUCUAGGAGAAGUUGUUGUUUUAACUAUUUUUUUUCAGAUGAUCUGUCUGUCUGUGGAAGAUUUAUUGUUAAUAAUUGUAAAGGAUCAAAAAUAAAUGGGAGUUUGUAGAGA